Molecule: long non-coding RNA, 823 nt
Organism: Tympanuchus pallidicinctus (lesser prairie-chicken)
Lineage: Eukaryota; Metazoa; Chordata; Aves; Galliformes; Phasianidae
Exons: 2
Source: RefSeq, a predicted model, not a curated record
GUGGUUGGCAAUCCUGCCCAUGGCAGGGGGUUGGAGUUAGAUAAUCUUGGAGGUCCUUUUCAAUCCAGGCUAUUCUGUGAUUCUAUAAAGACAGUUACUUUUCUCCAGGAGAGAAAAUGCUAACUAGUAUGGAUGAGUAUUUUGCUUCUGUCCUCGUUAACCAAAACUUAUGUUGGCAAUUAAAGAUCAUUAGCUUUUCCUAGUUUAUGCACUAGCCAGUAAAUAAAACUGUGUAACUCUUCAUCCCUGAGGUGCCCAAGUUGCUGCCAACUUGUGUAAGAAGCAAGAUGCGUUUUACAGUAAUCACUGGGUCCAAAACUUAACAGGUACUUGUAGAGACAUUAAGGAUACACUGAUGUAAAGAGUUUCAGCACAAAGACUGCACUGUCUUCCUUUUGUCUUCAUUAAGCAGUUUUCUAAGUGUUUGUGAAAUUAACUAUUGCACAGUGCCUGGAAGUGGGAAAAAAAAAACAGGGGUAUGCCUUCACUUCUUCAAUGAAGGCAGCAAGGCAGUUCUGUGGCUGCACUCUGCUGGGAAUAAGAAGGUGCACGUGCACUUUGGGAAUGGCUUUGGUAAGGUUCGAUGUUGCUGUACCAAGUAUUUGCUGUUUACAGAAUAUUUCAGCUAGACACAGUGUAUGGGAUUGCUAAGUUUCAGCCAAAACACAUAAGGGCAUGAUUUGUGUUUUUAAAGUGCCUAGCAUUGAAAAUGUUGAGGAAACCAGGUACUAAUGUGCUUUAUUUUCAAGUAUGUAGCAGUUGAUUUAUUUGUAUUUAAAUACAGAUUAUUUUAACAGAAAUCAAUAGUGAAAUUUGGUCUAAA